RNAcentral lists this ribosomal RNA (399 nucleotides) under Metromonas sp. Its description in RNAcentral is "partial small subunit ribosomal RNA". It matches the Rfam family "Eukaryotic small subunit ribosomal RNA", at positions 582 to 975 of the family's 1831-position model. The record is from RNAcentral. Lineage: Eukaryota; Cercozoa; Imbricatea; Metromonadea.
AUUCCAGCUCCAGUAGCGUAUAUUAUUACUGUUGUAGUUAAAAAGCUCGUAGUUGAAUAUCUGGCGUUGGGAAGCCCUGCCCGCCGCGAUUCGCGUGUGGGUUGUGGGGCGUCCCCGCCAUCCUGUGUGGGAGCCCGCCUACCCUUCAUUGGGCCGGGCGGUGCGAGCACACUCAGUUACUUUGAGAAAAUCUGCGCGUUCAAAGCAGGCACACGCUAUGAAAGCUUCAGCAUGGAAUAACAAGAUAGGACCUGGGUCUCUAUUUUGUUGGUUUCUAGGAUCGAGGUGAUGAUUGAUAGGGACAGUUGGGGGUGCUUGUAUUUAACGGCCAGAGGUGAAAUUCUUGGAUUCGUUAAAGACAAACUACUGCGAAAGCAUUCACCAAGGAUGUCUUCAUCG